This 254-nucleotide ribosomal RNA is filed under the name uncultured bacterium. RNAcentral's name for it is "partial 16S ribosomal RNA". It matches the Rfam family "Bacterial small subunit ribosomal RNA", at positions 524 to 776 of the family's 1533-position model. The record is from RNAcentral.
GACGAAGGAUGCAAGCGUUAUCCGGAUUCAUUGGGUUUAAAGGGAGCGUAGGUGGCCUUAUAAGUCAGUGGUGAAAUCUCUGGGCUUAACCCAGAAAUUGCCAUUGAUACUGUAGGGCUUGAGUACAGUUGCUGUGGGCGGAAUAUGACAUGUAGUGGUGAAAUACAUAGAGAUGUCAUAGAACACCGAUUGCGAAGGCAGCUCACAAAACUGUAACUGACACUGAGGCUCGAAAAGUGCGGGGAUCAAACAGG